AGCGAACGUUAGCGGCGGGCCUAACACAUGCAAGUCGAACGCGAAAGGUCUUCGGACUGAGUAGAGUGGCGCACGGGUGAGUAACACGUAGGUAAUCUACCCUUUGGCGGGGAUAACGUUCCGAAAGGAGCGCUAAUACCGCAUAAGACCACGGAGUCUCCGGACGCUGUGGGAAAAGGUGGCCUCUUCUUGAAAGCUACCACCGAAGGAUGAGCCUGCGUCCCAUCAGCUAGUUGGUAAGGUAAUGGCUUACCAAGGCGAAGACGGGUAGCUGGCUUGAGAGAAUGAUCAGCCACACUGGCACUGGAACACGGGCCAGACUCCUACGGGAGGCAGCAGUGAGGAAUAUUGGGCAAUGGGCGAAAGCCUGACCCAGCCACGCCGCGUGAGUGAUGAAGGCCCUCGGGUCGUAAAGCUCUGUGGAGAGGGACGAAAACCCUGGUUUCAAAUAGGCUCCAGGCUUGACGGUACCUCUUUAGCAAGCACCGGCUAACUCUGUGCCAGCAGCCG
This 510-nucleotide ribosomal RNA is filed under the name uncultured bacterium. RNAcentral describes it as "bacterial SSU rRNA". It matches the Rfam family "Bacterial small subunit ribosomal RNA", at positions 29 to 517 of the family's 1533-position model. The record is from RNAcentral.